Molecule: long non-coding RNA, 1005 nt
Filed under: Arabidopsis lyrata
Lineage: Eukaryota; Viridiplantae; Streptophyta; Magnoliopsida; Brassicales; Brassicaceae
Description: long non-coding RNA (ALYR_LNC002383)
Source: RNAcentral
UUAACAAAUUUCAUGGAUUUUUAUUGGAUACCGUGACAAGUAUUUAUAUAUCAAGGGUAAUAGCAUGUUUUAAAAAUUAGACAUGUGUUUUAAAAUCAGAUCUAAUUUCUUAUUACACCGGGGAGUGGUGGAGAAAAUCCGGCGAGAAGAGAAAACAGAGUACGACCAAGAGAGAUAAAAGGGAGAGAUUUUUAGGAAAAACAAUUGUUAAAAAGAGAUCUGGUACUGAAGAGAUUUGAUGAGAAAAAGAAAGAAUGAGAACAAAAAAAAGAUUUCAUGGUAAAUCUGAUGAACAAAUCAUGUGUUUCUCUGAAAUAACACGAUAUAUUUACAAAAAAACAUACCAUUUUCUUAAAUAACACGAAGUAUUAACAAAUAUAUAUAAUUGUUAAAAUCUUUCAUGGGUUUUUAUUGGAUAGCGUGACAAAUAUUUAUAUAUCAGUGGUAAUAGCAUGUUUUUUCUUUACAAUACAUGCAUUUUAAAAACUAGUCAUGUGUUUUAAAAUCAGAUUUAAUUUCUUUAUUAUCACACUGGAGAGUGGUGGAGAAAUUCGGCGAUAAUGGAAAAUAGAGAACGACCAAAGGAGAUGAGAGGGAGAGAAUUAUAGGAAAAAAAAAAGAGAGAACAUGUGGUGAAGAAAUCUGACAAUAGGAAGAUAUGGGUAAAGAAAAAGAGAUAUAGUAGUGAAGAGAUUAGAUGAAAAGAAGAGAGAUUGAGAAAAAGAAAAGAUUCCAUGGUGAAUCUGGUGAUGAAUUCUAGCAAAAAAAAAAAAAGAGAAUCAGUGGUGAUGAAGUCAAGAGGAAGCGACAGUGGAGAAGCCAUGGCUGUGGUGGUGGAUACAAUGGAUGUGAUGCUCGAUACAAAUGACCUAUUAGAGCUUAUGGAUCUGAUAGUGGUUAUCUCUGUAAUGGAGUUGUUAGGGAGAAAGUGGUGGUAGUUUCGGAGAAAUCAAAGAAAUAGAAAGAAAGAGAAAGAGAAUGAAAAAUAAUGAAGGAUUGGCUUUG